AACCGUGUACGUACAAGCAGUGGGAGCCUCUUUAUGGGGUGACUGCGUACCUUUUGUAUAAUGGGUCAGCGACUUAUAUUCUGUAGCAAGGUUAACCGAAUAGGGGAGCCGAAGGGAAACCGAGUCUUAACUGGGCGUUAAGUUGCAGGGUAUAGACCCGAAACCCGGUGAUCUAGCCAUGGGCAGGUUGAAGGUUGGGUAACACUAACUGGAGGACCGAACCGACUAAUGUUGAAAAAUUAGCGGAUGACUUGUGGCUGGGGGUGAAAGGCCAAUCAAACCGGGAGAUAGCUGGUUCUCCCCGAAAGCUAUUUAGGUAGCGCCUCGUGAAUUCAUCUCCGGGGGUAGAGCACUGUUUCGGCAAGGGGGUCAUCCCGACUUACCAACCCGAUGCAAACUGCGAAUACCGGAGAAUGUUAUCACGGGAGACACACGGCGGGUGCUAACGUCCGUCGUGAAGAGGGAAACAACCCAGACCGCCAGCUAAGGUCCCAAAGUCAUGGUUAAGUGGGAAACGAUGUGGGAAGGCCCAGACAGCCAGGAUGUUGGCUUAGAAGCAGCCAUCAUUUAAAGAAAGCGUAAUAGCUCACUGGUCGAGUCGGCCUGCGCGGAAGAUGUAACGGGGCUAAACCAUGCACCGAAGCUGCGGCAGCGACACUAAGUGUUGUUGGGUAGGGGAGCGUUCUGUAAGCCUGUGAAGGUGUACUGUGAGGUAUGCUGGAGGUAUCAGAAGUGCGAAUGCUGACAUAAGUAACGAUAAAGCGGGUGAAAAGCCCGCUCGCCGGAAGACCAAGGGUUCCUGUCCAACGUUAAUCGGGGCAGGGUGAGUCGACCCCUAAGGCGAGGCCGAAAGGCGUAGUCGAUGGGAAACAGGUUAAUAUUCCUGUACUUGGUGUUACUGCGAAGGGGGGACGGAGAAGGCUAUGUUGGCCGGGCGACGGUUGUCCCGGUUUAAGCGUGUAGGCUGGUUUUCCAGGCAAAUCCGGAAAAUCAAGGCUGAGGCGUGAUGACGAGGCACUACGGUGCUGAAGCAACAAAUGCCCUGCUUCCAGGAAAAGCCUCUAAGCAUCAGGUAACAUCAAAUCGUACCCCAAACCGACACAGGUGGUCAGGUAGAGAAUACCAAGGCGCUUGAGAGAACUCGGGUGAAGGAACUAGGCAAAAUGGUGCCGUAACUUCGGGAGAAGGCACGCUGAUAUGUAGGUGAAGCGACUUGCUCGUGGAGCUGAAAUCAGUCGAAGAUACCAGCUGGCUGCAACUGUUUAUUAAAAACACAGCA
RNAcentral lists this ribosomal RNA (1279 nucleotides) under Escherichia coli. RNAcentral describes it as "partial 23S ribosomal RNA". It matches the Rfam family "Bacterial large subunit ribosomal RNA", at positions 554 to 1820 of the family's 2925-position model. The record is from RNAcentral. Lineage: Bacteria; Pseudomonadati; Pseudomonadota; Gammaproteobacteria; Enterobacterales; Enterobacteriaceae.